AGCCAGAUCUGCCAUGGGCAGGUGCUUGCUGUAUAAUCAGCAACCCAGAGCCUGGGCCUGCCACCAAUAAACAAGCACAGGGGUGCAGUGCUCUCUGGAAGACUGUGUGCUUCCCACUGUAGUUCCUGCAAGGAGAAAUUGAGUGAGGAAAAGGAACAAGUAUUACAUGUCCUGUUCAAUGACUCGACUUCUCUCAGACCCUGAGUGCCCUUAACAGCCAUGCCUCAAACCCUGUGAACACUGAUCUUACAGCUCUGCCAAGGGGUGGCUACUACACUUCCAGAGUGUGUAACACUGUGCAGCCUGGAGCUUUCAGCACUCAAGAAUUCAGCUUCCUGUACAAUUGCUCUGCUUGUGCGUGGGAAAGGUGUAAGUUUUCUUCAGCUGCAUCUGCAGUGCUGUGGCAG
This is a long non-coding RNA of Calypte anna (Anna's hummingbird), 407 nucleotides long. RefSeq lists it as uncharacterized. Lineage: Eukaryota; Metazoa; Chordata; Aves; Apodiformes; Trochilidae. The record is from RefSeq and is a predicted model, not a curated record. The transcript is spliced from 4 exons.